UCCCUGGUGGUCCAGUGGCUGGGACUCUGCACUCCCAGUACAGAGGACCCGGGUUCCAUUCCUGGUAGGGGAA
This 73-nucleotide transfer RNA is filed under the name Bos taurus (domestic cattle). It matches the Rfam family "tRNA". Rfam says of the family: Transfer RNA (tRNA) molecules are approximately 80 nucleotides in length. Their secondary structure includes four short double-helical elements and three loops (D, anti-codon, and T loops). RNAcentral also lists the same sequence under 3 other names. The record is from Rfam by way of RNAcentral. Lineage: Eukaryota; Metazoa; Chordata; Mammalia; Artiodactyla; Bovidae.